This 392-nucleotide ribosomal RNA is filed under the name uncultured bacterium. RNAcentral describes it as "partial 16S ribosomal RNA". It matches the Rfam family "Bacterial small subunit ribosomal RNA", at positions 523 to 918 of the family's 1533-position model. The record is from RNAcentral.
AUACGGAGGAUGCGAGCGUUAUCCGGAUUUAUUGGGUUUAAAGGGAGCGUAGGCGGGAGCUUAAGUCAGCGGUUAAAUGGUGCGGCUCAACCGUGCCCUGCCGUUGAAACUGGGUUUCUUGAGAGUGCAAGAGGCGGAUGGGAUUCCUGGUGUAGGGGUGAAAUGCUUAGAUAUCAUGAAGAACUCCGAUUGCGAAGGCAGUCCGCUGGGGCACGUCUGACGCUGAUGCUCGAAGGUGCGGGAAUCUAACAGGAUUAGAUACCCUGGUAGUCCGCACGGUAAACGAUGAUUACCCGCUGUCGGCGGCAGACAGUCGGCGGCCAAGCGAAAGCGAUAAGUAAUCCACCUGGGGAGUACGCCGGCAACGGUGAAACUCAAAUGAAUUGACGGGG